AUUUCUGCCUUUGCCUGUACAGCUCCACUCAGGUGUACUGUCUGUUCUUCGGAGUUUUAUCUUGGAUAUGUCCCCUUCCUGGGGACCAUAAAUUAAAUGGAUUUCUUUUUGAGAACUGGGGCAGGUUUCGAAGUUUGCUUCUGUCUCCCCAUGCAGUUACCCGACAGAGCAGUAUCUUUGGGUACAGUACACCCAAA
Hyla sarda is the source of this 197-nucleotide small nuclear RNA. RefSeq annotates it as U2 spliceosomal RNA. The record is from RefSeq and is a predicted model, not a curated record. NCBI's taxonomy places the organism in Eukaryota, Metazoa, Chordata, Amphibia, Anura, Hylidae. The transcript has a single exon.